RNAcentral lists this ribosomal RNA (530 nucleotides) under uncultured Pseudomonadota bacterium. RNAcentral's name for it is "bacterial SSU rRNA". It matches the Rfam family "Bacterial small subunit ribosomal RNA", at positions 376 to 896 of the family's 1533-position model. The record is from RNAcentral. Lineage: Bacteria; Pseudomonadati; Pseudomonadota.
CGAAAGCCUGACGCAGCGACGCCGCGUGGGUGAUGAAGGCCUUCGGGUCGUAAAGCCCUGUCGGGAGGGAAGAAAUCUCGGCGACCUAAUACGUCGCCGACUUGACGGUACCUCCUAAGGAAGCACCGGCUAACUCCGUGCCAGCAGCCGCGGUAAUACGGAGGGUGCAAGCGUUGCUCGGAAUUACUGGGCGUAAAGCGCGUGUAGGCGGCCUUUUAAGUUCGGUGUGAAAGCUCGGGGCUCACCCCCGGAAGUGCAUCGAAUACUGGGAGGCUCGAGUACCGGAGAGGAGGGUGGAAUUCCUGGUGUAGCGGUGAAAUGCGUAGAUAUCAGGAGGAACACCGGUGGCGAAGGCGGCCCUCUGGACGGAUACUGACGCUGAGACGCGAAAGCGUGGGGAGCAAACAGGAUUAGAUACCCUGGUAGUCCACGCUGUAAACGAUGGGUACUAGGUGUUCGGGGUAUUGACCCCCUGAGUGCCGCAGCUAACGCAUUAAGUACCCCGCCUGGGGAGUACGGCCGCAAGGCUA